RNAcentral lists this ribosomal RNA (536 nucleotides) under Microbacterium sp. PE-R2A-11. Its description in RNAcentral is "bacterial SSU rRNA". It matches the Rfam family "Bacterial small subunit ribosomal RNA", at positions 103 to 653 of the family's 1533-position model. The record is from RNAcentral. Lineage: Bacteria; Bacillati; Actinomycetota; Actinomycetes; Micrococcales; Microbacteriaceae.
CGGGUGAGUAACACGUGAGCAAUCUGCCCCUGACUCUGGGAUAACAGCUGGAAACAGCUGCUAAUACCGGAUACGAGCUGCGAAGGCAUCUUCAGCAGCUGGAAAGAACUUCGGUCAGGGAUGAGCUCGCGGCCUAUCAGCUAGUUGGUGAGGUAAUGGCUCACCAAGGCGUCGACGGGUAGCCGGCCUGAGAGGGUGACCGGCCACACUGGGACUGAGACACGGCCCAGACUCCUACGGGAGGCAGCAGUGGGGAAUAUUGCACAAUGGGCGAAAGCCUGAUGCAGCAACGCCGCGUGAGGGACGACGGCCUUCGGGUUGUAAACCUCUUUUAGCAGGGAAGAAGCGAAAGUGACGGUACCUGCAGAAAAAGCACCGGCUAACUACGUGCCAGCAGCCGCGGUAAUACGUAGGGUGCAAGCGUUAUCCGGAAUUAUUGGGCGUAAAGAGCUCGUAGGCGGUUUGUCGCGUCUGCUGUGAAAACUGGAGGCUCAACCUCCAGCCUGCAGUGGGUACGGGCAGACUAGAGUGCGGUA